This is a long non-coding RNA of Carya illinoinensis, 267 nucleotides long. RefSeq lists it as uncharacterized. NCBI's taxonomy places the organism in Eukaryota, Viridiplantae, Streptophyta, Magnoliopsida, Fagales, Juglandaceae. The record is from RefSeq and is a predicted model, not a curated record. The transcript is spliced from 3 exons.
GAUGCAUCUGCUACACUUGUGGUCUUUGAGCGAAGGUAUGCAUCUCUGGAAAAUUAUGUCGCUGAGCCAAUCAUAAGUUCAACAGAAAAGCAGCCACUCCUUGAAACUCCAGGAGAAAAAACUCAUAUACAGGUAUGCCUUUGAAUAUGGGAGCAAUUACUUUUAGUUGAAAGUGAUGAAGUGCACUUAGGAUCAACUUGAAGUUUCUGCUUGGCUAUGUACUGAACAUAUUUCUACUUGUUGUAUACUGAAUGUACUGAACAUAUU